Molecule: long non-coding RNA, 663 nt
Filed under: Phoenix dactylifera (date palm)
Lineage: Eukaryota; Viridiplantae; Streptophyta; Magnoliopsida; Arecales; Arecaceae
Description: long non-coding RNA (PDAC_LNC012420)
Source: RNAcentral
AUCAUAAAAUAAGAUUAUAACUGCAAUUUCGAAUUCAAAUUACACAUGGGUGCAUGCAGAAAAUGUAUUUGGCAUUAUUAGAAUCUACACAAAUAAGAAGCGCAUGGAAGGAUUACAAAAUUACCCUGCACCUACGUGAGCUUAACUUUUUUUUUUUUUGCUUUAACGGGUUCUUCAGACAACGCGUGUCCGAAUACACCCAAGAAAAUCAAAAUACACAAUCUCACGUAGUGCCAACGGCAUCUCACUCUCUCCUGCCCAUAGGGCGUAUCCUGAAUGGUGGGCCGCGUAUGCAGCCACCCAGUCAGCCGCCCCGUUGGCCUCUCUGAAUACAUGCUUGGCCUCAAAGGCCAUGCCAUCCCUCACCAUCAUCCCAAUGUCCCGGAUUAGAGGGUGGUCAGUGCUCUCACCACUCGGUCUCCGCCGAAUCCAUCCAAUAACCGUAGCCGAAUCGCCCUCCAAGAUGAUCGAGCUAGCCCGCAGUACCUGCCGCGCAUGGCGAACACCUGCCCAGGCAGCUCGCAACUCCGCCCCUGGAACUGAUAUGUCGAACAACCGGCAACCGCCCGCUGCCACUACCCUGGAGUGAGGGUCCCAUAUGACGAAGCCUGCCCCGCCUCGUGUACCUCCAUCCAACACCGACCCGUCAAAGUUGACAUUGAG